AUUGAACGCUGGCGGCAUGGCUAAAACAUGCAAGUCGAACGGGCCCGCAAGGGUCAGUGGCGAAAGGGUCAGUAACGCGAUCGAACGUACCCCGAGGUGGGGAGUAGGCACGGGAAACUGUGCAUAAUACCUCAUGAUGUCGAGAGACCAAAGGCCACCCUUAAAAGUAGGGCGCCUUGGGAGCGGCGAUCGUCCUAUCAGGUAGUUGGCGGGGUAACGGCCCACCAAGCCGAAGACGGGUAGCGGGNGUGAGAGCACGGCCCGCGACAUCGGAACUGAGACACUGUCCGGACUCCUACGGGAGGCUGCAGUAACGAAUCUUCCGCAAUGGGCGAAAGCCUGACGGAGCAAUGCCGCGUGCGGGAUGAAGCGCCUACGGCGUGUAAACCGACUGUCAGGGGGUGGAACCAAUGAUUACCCCAGAGGAAGUGCGACUAACUCUGUGCCAGCAGCCGCAGUAAC
Molecule: ribosomal RNA, 462 nt
Filed under: uncultured bacterium
Lineage: Bacteria
Description: bacterial SSU rRNA
Rfam family: Bacterial small subunit ribosomal RNA
Source: RNAcentral